Molecule: ribosomal RNA, 433 nt
Filed under: Eremocosta striata
Lineage: Eukaryota; Metazoa; Arthropoda; Arachnida; Solifugae; Eremobatidae
Description: partial 16S ribosomal RNA
Rfam family: Bacterial large subunit ribosomal RNA
Source: RNAcentral
AGUGAUUUAUUAAAUAGCCGCAGUAUUUUGACUGUGCAAAGGUAGCAUAAUAAAUUGUCUUUUAAUUGGAGGCUGGAAUGAAUGAUGGGAUGUGAUGGGUGCUGUCUUUUUAAUAAUUGAUUGAAAUUUACUUUUUGAUGAAAAGGUUAAGAUUUGGUUGGUAGACGAGAAGACCCUAUCAAGCUUGAUUUUGGCAGUAAUUUGAUCUUGUUGAAUUUGUGGGUGGGUUGUGGCUAGAAUUUUGUUGGGGCAAUGUUUGAAUAUAUUGUAAUUUUUUAUUAUUUGAUUUAUUUUGAUCCAUUAUUAAUGAUUAAAGGAAUAAGUUACUGUAGGGAUAACAGCGUAAUUAAUUUGGAGAGUUCAUAUUGGUAAAUUGGAUUGCGACCUCGAUGUUGGUUUAAUGAUUCUUUAGGGUGUAGCAGCUUUAUGAGAG